RNAcentral lists this ribosomal RNA (373 nucleotides) under uncultured Weissella sp. Its description in RNAcentral is "bacterial SSU rRNA". It matches the Rfam family "Bacterial small subunit ribosomal RNA", at positions 116 to 476 of the family's 1533-position model. Lineage: Bacteria; Bacillati; Bacillota; Bacilli; Lactobacillales; Lactobacillaceae. The record is from RNAcentral.
CGNGGGAAACCUACNUNUUAGCGGGGGAUAACAUCUGGAAACAGAUGCUAAUACCGCAUAACACUAGCAACCGCAUGGUUGCUACUUGAAAGAUGGUUCUGCUAUCACUAAGAGAUGGUCCCGCGGCGCAUUAGUUAGUUGGUGAGGUAAUGGCUCACCAAGACGAUGAUGCGUAGCCGAGUUGAGAGACUGAUCGGCCACAAUGGGACUGAGACACGGCCCAUACUCCUACGGGAGGCAGCAGUAGGGAAUCUUCCACAAUGGACGAAAGUCUGAUGGAGCAACGCCGCGUGUGUGAUGAAGGGUUUCGGCUCGUAAAACACUGUUGUAAGAGAAGAAUAGCAUCAAGAGUAACUGCUUGGUGUCUGACGGU